RNAcentral lists this ribosomal RNA (557 nucleotides) under Nitrosopumilaceae archaeon. Its description in RNAcentral is "partial 23S ribosomal RNA". It matches the Rfam family "Bacterial large subunit ribosomal RNA", at positions 1333 to 1880 of the family's 2925-position model. The record is from RNAcentral. Lineage: Archaea; Thermoproteati; Nitrososphaerota; Nitrososphaeria; Nitrosopumilales; Nitrosopumilaceae.
CUCGCCGUAAGCGCAAGGUUUCCUACGCAACGUUCAUCGGCGUAGGGUGAGUCGGCCCCUAAGGCGAGGCAGAGAUGCGUAGCUGAUGGGAAACAGGUCAAUAUUCCUGUACCGAUGUGUAGUGCGAUGUGGGGACGGAGAAGGUUAGCUCGGCCGGGUGUUGGAUGUCCCGGUUCAAGCCUGUAGUCGUGCCUGGUAGGCAAAUCCGCCGGGCUUAGAUGAGGGGUGAUAACGAGGAGGCUUGCUUCCGAAGUGAGUGAUACCCUGCUUCCAGGAAAAGCCACUAAGCUUCAGCUACACACGACCGUACCGCAAACCGACACUGGUGCGCGAGAUGAGUAUUCUAAGGCGCUUGAGAGAACUCUGGAGAAGGAACUCGGCAAAUUGACACCGUAACUUCGGAAGAAGGUGUGCCUUUAGUAGGUGAAGUCGUACAGAUGGAGCCCAAUGAGGCCGCAGAGAAUCGGUGGCUGCGACUGUUUACUAAAAACACAGCACUCUGCAAAGACGAAAGUCGACGUAUAGGGUGUGACGCCUGCCCGGUGCUGGAAGAUUAA